RNAcentral lists this small RNA (559 nucleotides) under Pan troglodytes (chimpanzee). Its description in RNAcentral is "processed transcript". The record is from RNAcentral. Lineage: Eukaryota; Metazoa; Chordata; Mammalia; Primates; Hominidae.
CUUCUUCCUGAUCCCCAGCAUCAUCUUUGCCGUCAAGACCUCCAAAUACUUCCGUCCUAUCCGGAAACGCCUCAGCUCCACCAGCUCUGAGGAGACUCAGCUCUUCCACAUCCCCCGGGUUACCUCCCUGAAGCUGUAGGGCCCUGUGGGGUGAGGUGACCCUGAGGCUGCCUGUCCUCCCCUUUGAUUUAGCCUGGGCCACAGGACUUCGGUAGCUCUUGCCCCAGAGCCCAGGCUGGCAUCCAGGCCUGGACUGUCCCCAGUUCCGGCUUACCUGGCCCCACCUUGCCUGCUCCUUUCCACCCCUUUCUGCUCACGACCCCCAUCAUUCACUCUCAGAAUCACAUGGGACUUCUGUGCAGCUGCAGAGCCAGCAAGUCCCUCCAGGUGUCACCCCUUACCCCCAUGCUGGUGGCAUCCUCACAGGAAGAGCCUGUUCUCCACCUGCUGGAGCCUGGACCCUGGGGUGGGACAGAGGCCUCGUCCAACCCCACUCCCCUUCCCGUGUGUCUUCCCCCUGCCAAGCCUCCCCCUGCCCCUCUCUGAGCCCCUCGCCCCC